CUAGUAACGGCGAGUGAAGCGGCAACAGCUCAAAUUUGAAAUCUGGCGCAAGCCCGAGUUGUAAUUUGUAGAGGAUGCUUCUAGGCAGCGGCCGGUCUAAGUUUCUUGGAACAGGACGUCAUAGAGGGUGAGAAUCCCGUAUGCGACCGGCUGGCACCUUACACGUAGCUCCUUCGACGAGUCGAGUUGUUUGGGAAUGCAGCUCUAAAUGGGUGGUAAAUUUCAUCUAAAGCUAAAUACCGGCCAGAGACCGAUAGCGCACAAGUAGAGUGAUCGAAAGAUGAAAAGCACUUUGGAAAGAGAGUUAAAAAGCACGUGAAAUUGUUGAAAGGGAAGCGCUUGCAACCAGACUUGUUAGCGGUGUUCCGCCGGUCUUCUGACCGGUCCACUCGCCGUCUACAGGCCAGCAUCGUCUGGGGCCGCCGGAUAAAGACGUAGGGAAUGUGGCACUCCUUCGGGGGUGUGUUAUAGCCUUACGUGCAAUACGGCGUGGCCCGGGCGAGGUCCGCGCUUCGGCUAGGAUGCUG
This 527-nucleotide ribosomal RNA is filed under the name uncultured fungus. RNAcentral describes it as "eukaryotic LSU rRNA". It matches the Rfam family "Eukaryotic large subunit ribosomal RNA", at positions 80 to 628 of the family's 3401-position model. Lineage: Eukaryota; Fungi. The record is from RNAcentral.